GACGAACGCUGGCGGCGUGGAUUAGGCAUGCAAGUCGAACGGUAGGAUACCUUCGGGUAUCUGAGAGUGGCGAACGGGUGAGUAACACGUAGGUGAUCUACCCUCAAGAUUGGGACAACCCAGGGAAACUUGGGCUAAUACCGGAUGAAAGCAGCAGUGAUGUUGUUUGAAAGGUGGCGUAAGCUGCCGUUUGGGGAUGAGCCUGCGCUCUAUUAGUUAGUUGGCGGGGUAAAGCCCACCAAGGCGAUGAUAGAUAGGCGGCCUUAACGGGUGGUCGCCCACACUGGGAUUGAGAUACGGCCCAGACUCCUACGGGAGCAGCAGUCGAGAAUAGUCUACAAUGGCCGAAAGGCUGAUAGUGCGACGCCGCGUGAACGAAGAAGCCCUUCGGGUGUAAAGUUCUUUUAUAUGUGAGCAGUGCUUCUAUGUGAACAGCAUGGGGAGAGAGAUAUUAGCAUAAUGAAUAAGCAACGGCUAACUCCGUGCCAGCA
Molecule: ribosomal RNA, 491 nt
Filed under: uncultured bacterium
Lineage: Bacteria
Description: bacterial SSU rRNA
Rfam family: Bacterial small subunit ribosomal RNA
Source: RNAcentral